GAUGAACGCUAGCGGCAGGCCUAAUACAUGCAAGUCGAACGGGAUCCAGAUCAAAGCUUGCUUUGGUCUGGUGAGAGUGGCGCACGGGUGCGUAACGCGUGAGCAACCUACCCUUGUCAGGGGGAUAGCCCGGCGAAAGUCGGAUUAAUACCGCAUGACAUCAUUGAGAGGCAUCUUUCGAUGAUCAAAGAUUUAUCGGACAAGGAUGGGCUCGCGUGACAUUAGCUAGUUGGUAAGGUAACGGCUUACCAAGGCUGCGAUGUCUAGGGGCUCUGAGAGGAGAAUCCCCCACACUGGUACUGAGACACGGACCAGACUCCUACGGGAGGCAGCAGUAAGGAAUAUUGGUCAAUGGACGGAAGUCUGAACCAGCCAUGCCGCGUGCAGGAGGACGGCCCUAUGGGUUGCAAACUGCUUUUAUACGGGAACAAACGUCGGUACGUGUACCGGUCUGAGUGUACCGUAAGAAUAAGGAUCGGCUAACUCCGUG
RNAcentral lists this ribosomal RNA (490 nucleotides) under uncultured bacterium. RNAcentral's name for it is "partial 16S ribosomal RNA". It matches the Rfam family "Bacterial small subunit ribosomal RNA", at positions 28 to 507 of the family's 1533-position model. The record is from RNAcentral.